Molecule: small nucleolar RNA, 105 nt
Filed under: Lupinus angustifolius (narrow-leaved blue lupine)
Lineage: Eukaryota; Viridiplantae; Streptophyta; Magnoliopsida; Fabales; Fabaceae
Description: snoRNA Plant_U3
Source: RNAcentral
ACAAGCUUACUUGAACAUGAUUUGUUCUACAGGCUCGUACAAUUGUGUCCUUGAGUUCUCUUCUUGUAAGAACUUGUUUUUUGUUUGAGGUAUUCAUGUCAAAUA